GGAGGGUGCAAGCGUUAAUCGGAAUUACUGGGCGCAAAGCGCACGCAGGCGGUUUGUUAAGUCAGAUGUGAAAUCCCCGGGCUCAACCUGGGAACUGCAUCUGAUACUGGCAAGCUUGAGUCUCGUAGAGGGGGGUAGAAUUCCAGGUGUAGCGGUGAAAUGCGUAGAGAUCUGGAGGAAUACCGGUGGCGAAGGCGGCCCCCUGGACGAAGACUGACGCUCAGGUGCGAAAGCGUGGGGAGCAAACAGGAUUAGAUACCCUGGUAGUCCACGCCGUAAACGAUGUCUACUGGUUGUUGGGGUUUAUUAACCUUGGUAACGAAGCUAACGCGUGAAGUAGACCGCCUGGGGAGU
RNAcentral lists this ribosomal RNA (354 nucleotides) under uncultured bacterium. Its description in RNAcentral is "bacterial SSU rRNA". It matches the Rfam family "Bacterial small subunit ribosomal RNA", at positions 527 to 881 of the family's 1533-position model. The record is from RNAcentral.